GACGGGUUCUCACGAAUGCUCAGUAUCGACAGUGUAGUAAUAAGCGUCGUGUAGUAAACUUGUCCAGAAAUUCUUUUCGGUUACCUAUUUAAUUUAGACGUUUGAUUUUAAUAAACUGAGUGUAUUUUCGACAUUUUUAAAUUUUUUUUGUGUUGCUCAUUCCAUUCGUAAACCGUCUUAUAAACUAUAACCACAACAGGCAUCAAUACUUCAAUCGUGUUGUGUUUUUUACAGGCGAAAAGUGCGCUAUCAUAUUCUGUCGAAAAAACUCCAAACAUAAUAUUCCGGUAGCGACGGCUGGCCAGUCCGGGAAAAAUGUAUAUUCGUGAGUUGUCAUUCAUUAUUAUUUUUUUAUCAAACGUAUUAUAAUAAUUGAUGUGAAACAUAUUUUUGCGGUAGUUCCCAUAAAUAAUAUAAAAUGGAUGUUGGAUAGACUAUGCUAAAGCACCCAUGUGUAACAGUUCCAGGAGUUUCGGUAUAUGCCCCAGCAAUACCAUUGUUACUAGUGAUAACCAAUAGGUAACCAUUAGCCAUAGCCCACAGGCAGUGGCGUAUUUUGGGUGAUUUAUCGGGGGGUGUCCAACAUUUAUUGAACCUCACAAACAACAUUUUUAGAAUUAUUUACUUUGCUAAUAUUUUAUAUUUUAUUUAUAUUGAGUUCAUAGUUGUAACAUAAAUUAUAUUGAAUCGAUAUUUUUUUCGAUUAUUUUAUUUUAUUGUCCCAUAAUGGCGUUUGUCCCCAAUGUGUUAAUAAUUAUUUAAUUUUUGUACGACAGUGUACUGUUACACACUGCGGCCUGUGGUUAUUUUUAGUAUCGUAAUGACCCGGUGAAAUUCAAAUAAUAUCUGGAUAUCCCUGAUAAAUUGUAGAUAAGUCUCUGUGUCGUAGAAUCUAAUCAAAUUAAUUAAAGUUUUGCCGUUUAUAUAAAAAUACCAUUUAUUUUAUAAUAAAAUAAAAAUAGUAUACUAAUAAACUAUAAAAUAAAUGAUAACACCAAUGUCCAAUAUAUUAGGACUUUUUUUUUAAGUCGGGGUAUGUCCAGACACGGGGGAAAACCUCCCCCCCCCC
Long non-coding RNA from Acyrthosiphon pisum (pea aphid), 1069 nucleotides. RefSeq lists it as uncharacterized. Lineage: Eukaryota; Metazoa; Arthropoda; Insecta; Hemiptera; Aphididae. The transcript has 2 exons. The record is from RefSeq and is a predicted model, not a curated record.